GCCAGGAUAACAUUUUGAGAGAGGCAGGUUAAAGAAAGGUGUAAAUAACAAGAUUGUGGAUAAGAAGAAAGCAGUGAAGGAUGAAAAAUCUUUAUUGCUACAAAAUUAAUUGUGUGUUAAUGUAUGAGCAUCUCAACAGAUUCAAAACUUGACAUACGAAGAACUCCGCGAGGUGGCCGUCCCGGACAUGAACGAACACGUUGGUGGUGUGCAUGUGGGACGGCCGUGUGGAGCCUUGCGAGGCCAUGAUGACCCCAGUGAACUUCGAGAGGCAGCGCUGCUUCCAGUUCAACGCCAACCUGGACCGUCUGAGGACGUCGAGGAUCAGCGGGAAGCUCAGCGGGUUAGAGGUCAUCAUCAACGUUAAUCAGGACAAUUACAUCUUCAGCGAGGGACUCGGCGCCGGAGUGGAAGUAAUUCUGCACGAGCCGGGAACAUUCCCGGAUAUAAUUCGCAAAGGUUUCCUCGCGCCCCCAGGAUUUACCACAAUGAGUAGCGUCCGUCUAAGGGAGCACAAAUACCUGCCAGCCCCUUAUCGAGCCUUCACUGGCGAAACAUGCGUGGAAGACAUUCGCGAUGAGAACUGACGUCAGCACUCCGUGAACAUGGCCUGAGAUACACUCACUCCUUGUGUCGCCUCAUCUGCCUGCAAUUCCUCACAUUGAGGGAGUGUGGCUGCCGCUUCUCUAAAUAUUCUUUUGAUGAUUCACAGAAAACGGACCGGCGGUACUGUACCCUGCUGGAGAUAUUCGACUGUGUUGAAGCAUUCCAGUAUCGACUUGCCAGGGAGCUGAACGACAGCGUGUGCCAGUGCAACCGUCUGUGUCAGGGCAAGGAGUAUGACGUCACCACCUCCAUGGCCUACUUCCCAUCGGAGUCGGCCAUCCAUCUCUUACAACGCGUCCACACAACGGUGUCGCAAGCGGAUCUCAGGAAAAAUCUCGUCGAUCUGAAGUAUUCUUUGGAGAUCUUGUCUCUCAAGAGGUCAACCACGUCCCUCAACAUUCGCUGGAGUCGGUGCUCAGCUCUGUGGGAGGUCAGAUGGGACUGUUUAUGGGUGCCAGCCUGCUGUCAAUUAUGGAGAUUCUAGAACUUUGUGCUCGACUUUCCUGUCAAGGCGCACAAGUAGUGUAUAGGCUCAUACGCUCGAGGGGAGAGGCAGGGGCCUCGAAUUAAACUCAUUUCAAAAAGAUAUCUUUACAGAUGUAGACAUCUGUAUAUAGAGAAAAGAUGCCUCUAAUUUCAAAUGAAACUGGCUUCUAAGAAGUGUUAUUUGUAUUUGUCUCUCUAUGUCUCU
Long non-coding RNA from Pomacea canaliculata, 1297 nucleotides. RefSeq lists it as uncharacterized. The record is from RefSeq and is a predicted model, not a curated record. The transcript has 7 exons. Lineage: Eukaryota; Metazoa; Mollusca; Gastropoda; Architaenioglossa; Ampullariidae.